AUAUAUCUAGUUUAACAAAACAAUAGUCUGUGGUACUAUAAUUUCAACUAUAUU
Molecule: transfer RNA, 54 nt
Filed under: Heteropoda venatoria (giant crab spider)
Lineage: Eukaryota; Metazoa; Arthropoda; Arachnida; Araneae; Sparassidae
Description: tRNA-His
Source: RNAcentral